RNAcentral lists this ribosomal RNA (478 nucleotides) under uncultured bacterium. Its description in RNAcentral is "partial 16S ribosomal RNA". It matches the Rfam family "Bacterial small subunit ribosomal RNA", at positions 28 to 523 of the family's 1533-position model. The record is from RNAcentral.
GACGAACGCUGGCGGCGUGCUUAACACAUGCAAGUCGAACGGUAAGGCCCUUCGGGGUACACGAGUGGCGAACGGGUGAGUAACACGUGGGUGAUCUGCCCUGCACUUCGGGAUAAGCCUGGGAAACUGGGUCUAAUACCGGAUAGGACCACUGCCUGCAUGGGUGGUGGUGGAAAGCUUUUGCGGUGUGGGAUGGGCCCGCGGCCUAUCAGCUCGUUGGUGGGGUGAUGGCCUACCAAGGCGACGACGGGUAGCCGGCCUGAGAGGGUGACCGGCCACACGGGGACGGGGAUACGGCCCAGACUCCUACGGGAGGCAGCAGUGGGGAAUAUUGCACAAUGGGCGCAAGCCUGAUGCAGCGACGCCGCGUGAGGGAUGACGGCCUUCGAGUUGUAAACCUCUUUCAGCACCGACGAAGCGCAAGUGACGGUAGGUGCAGAAGAAGGACCGGCCAACUACGUGCCAGCCGCCGCGGUAA